UUUAAUUGAUGACUUGUAUGAAAGAUUUGAUGAAAUAUGAACUGUCUCUUAUUUAAUUAUAAAAUUUAAUUUUUUUAUUAAAAAGUUAAAAUAUUUUAAAAAGACGAGAAGACCCUAUAGAGUUUAAUAAAUUAUUAAAUUAAGAUUAUAUGUAAAAUAAAUUUGAAAUUAAAUUAUUUAUUUUGUUGGGGUGACAAAAAAAUAUAUAAAACUUUUUUUUACAUAAAAACAUUUAUAAGUGAUUAUAUGAUUCAGUAAUAUUGAUUAUAAGAAAAAAUUACCUUAGGGAUAACAGCGUAAUUUUUUUUUUUAGUACAAAUAAGAAAAAGAGUUUGCGACCUCGAUGUUGGAUUA
RNAcentral lists this ribosomal RNA (354 nucleotides) under Acrapex vetiveria. RNAcentral describes it as "partial 16S large subunit ribosomal RNA". The record is from RNAcentral. Lineage: Eukaryota; Metazoa; Arthropoda; Insecta; Lepidoptera; Noctuidae.